Nomascus leucogenys (northern white-cheeked gibbon) is the source of this 114-nucleotide non-coding RNA. The record is from Rfam. NCBI's taxonomy places the organism in Eukaryota, Metazoa, Chordata, Mammalia, Primates, Hylobatidae.
GUGCUCACUUCGGCAGCACAUAUACUAAAAUUGGAACCAUACAGAGAAGAUUAGCAUGGCCCCUGCUCAUGAAUGACACCUUAUUUUUUAACAACAGCAAAAAAAAAGACCUUU